UACAGAGGGGGCAAGCGUUAUUCGGAUUCACUGGGCGUAAAGGGUGCGCAGGCGGCCGUGUGUGUCAGGUGUGAAAGCCCGGAGCUUAACUCCGGAAUUGCGCCUGAAACUACAUGGCUAGAGCAUUGGAGAGGGUAGCGGAAUUCACGGUGUAGCAGUGAAAUGCGUAGAUAUCGUGAGGAACACCAGAGGCGAAGGCGGCUACCUGGACAAUUGCUGACGCUCAGGCACGAAAGCGUGGGGAGCAAAAGGG
Molecule: ribosomal RNA, 253 nt
Filed under: uncultured bacterium
Lineage: Bacteria
Description: partial 16S ribosomal RNA
Rfam family: Bacterial small subunit ribosomal RNA
Source: RNAcentral